Dermacentor silvarum is the source of this 456-nucleotide long non-coding RNA. RefSeq lists it as uncharacterized. NCBI's taxonomy places the organism in Eukaryota, Metazoa, Arthropoda, Arachnida, Ixodida, Ixodidae. The record is from RefSeq and is a predicted model, not a curated record. The transcript has 3 exons.
UCUGAAAAUUGGGAAAGCAAGGUAGCAAAUAUAAACGCCAUGCUUCUGCUUCUGCCCACAUCUCGCAGAGAAGCAUCAACUGAAGUAAUGGCGUCUACGAUUGUGCUUGCCAACGUGUUGCUGCCGCUUAUAUUGCUUUUUCUCCAAGGAAGCAAUGCGGCUCAUGAUGUGGAGGCUAGAAUCGAUACAUUGGCAUGCAACCGGCUGACCGAAAGAUGUAGUUAUCCAGCAAGUUGCGCCUGCGACUGGCAAUCGGGUCCCGGUCAGGUGGUUCUCGACGUUGUUCACUAUGAUCCAUUAACCAACCAGUGUGUACAAAGAGGAAAGGAAGCCAACUGCAACGCAUUUCGCAGUAUUAGCGACUGCGAGGCUUCCUGCAGAAACAACGGCAGGGGGCGUUAGCCGCAUACGUUAUUACCAUCCUUUGGUGCGUACGACGUAAUAAAGUAGCUCAUA